GUUUCCAGUGCUGCUUAUGAAGACUUGAAAGCAGACUAUUCACAUGCUACAGAUAUGAGAAGUGAAUCAUCAAGGAUCACAGCUGAAAGCUUUGAAGAGGUUGAUAUGGUUGGGGUACACAACCAGCAGUGGAAUAACUGGAGAGGAGGGUUGAAGCAAAAAUGAGGAGUGUACCUGUUGGCUGUGGUUACUAUCUUGGACUGUGCACUACUUUGACCGAAUUUACACAGCUUCUGGAUAGAAUCUGCUCUACUCUGCCUCCAGCCUUGGUAAGGUAGGGCAUUAUAGGAAGAGAGAUUUCGGUUUCUGGAAGACAAGUAAUGAUGUGGAAGGAGGAGGAAGACAAACUUGGUCAUCUAAGAAUGCAAGUUCCCAAGUGAAACUCCAGAAAGACAAGAGAGAGGUAAAGGUGUAUUAUAUGUAGAAGAUUAGAGUUAAAAGUGUCUGGUUUAUGGGAAUAAGAAUUACUUCCUUCCAGGGAUGGUUAUGCAUGUACAUGUAGUACAAUGUCCCAAUGCAUCUGAAUUCACUCUAGACUGCAAAUGGGCCCAAAGGUGAUAUUUGG
This 565-nucleotide long non-coding RNA is filed under the name Gallus gallus (chicken). Lineage: Eukaryota; Metazoa; Chordata; Aves; Galliformes; Phasianidae. The record is from RNAcentral.